This is a long non-coding RNA of Vespa mandarinia (Asian giant hornet), 505 nucleotides long. The record is from RefSeq and is a predicted model, not a curated record. Lineage: Eukaryota; Metazoa; Arthropoda; Insecta; Hymenoptera; Vespidae.
AGAAAAACAGUGGCAACGUAUCGUCCGUACGUUCGUUCUAACGAGAGAAAUAGAAGGACUGAGAAUAGAUUGUUGUUUCGUCGAUAAAAUAGUUGGUGUAAGAAGAAAUUGUGCCGUUGGAGUUAAUAAUUGAACUAACGAAGCGAAGAGAAGAUAGUUCGUAUCUUGUACGAGAUUUCGAAUUUAUACCUAUCAUUUAUUCAUUCAUCUGAAAAAUGAUAUCGAUUUAAAAUUAAAAUUGGUAAAAUGCAUAAGAAUUAUCGUAGAUAUUUGAUCGAACGUUACAAAUUUCUCUUCGUUUGAAUUCUGAUAAAAACGAAAAUACGAUGGUACCCGAUCAUCGUCGAUGGGUUUGAACAUUUUGGGAAAUAUCGGGAUGCGACAGUGUGGAUUUAGAGAGAUAGUUUGCCUGCCGAUUCGAAUACAGCCGGCGCCAUUGUUCCUCGUUAAUCGCUCAACCGAUCGCAAUCUCCGAUACAACGCCCCGAGCAUUGCGAAUCGAAUA